This 375-nucleotide long non-coding RNA is filed under the name Citrus x clementina. Its description in RNAcentral is "Citrus clementina (C. clementina) long non-coding RNA (CCLE_LNC005741)". Lineage: Eukaryota; Viridiplantae; Streptophyta; Magnoliopsida; Sapindales; Rutaceae. The record is from RNAcentral.
UUUUAAAAUCACAAGUUUAUCAUAUUCUCGCCAAAUCAUUGUCAGACUGUCGUCACUGCUAUUGUCGAUAGCACGUGGAAUGUCAUCGCCAGUACUAUUGGAUUCACUAAUCAAAAAACAACACCAUUUUGGCGUCAUUGAGGUGAAAAAAAAAAUGAAUGUGUUGUAUUCAAAUUCGGUUCCUAGCAUUUGGAUACUUUUUUACCUUAUCAUAUUCGGACAAUUAUCAAUUUUUUUCGGCCAAAUAAGUUACUCCACUGUAGAGAUCGUCAAUUUCUAAUCAAUUUAAUGUCAUUUACAAGAUGAGAUGAGAUAGUCGGCGGUGGUUUUGGUGGUAGCUCCAUUUCCUUUUCUUGGGAUUUUUAAAAUGAAUUU